Ictalurus punctatus (channel catfish) is the source of this 1113-nucleotide long non-coding RNA. The record is from Ensembl. NCBI's taxonomy places the organism in Eukaryota, Metazoa, Chordata, Actinopteri, Siluriformes, Ictaluridae.
GGAGAGACAGAGGGAGAGACAGUAGGAGAGACAAGAGAGGAGACAGUGGGAUGGACAGAGGGACAGACAGAGGGACACUGUCAAUCAAGUUUAUUCAUUGGAAUAUGUAAAUUUAUACACUUAAAAACAGGAAGUACAUAGGACAGUAUAAAACAGAUGAUGGAGUGUAUUCGCAGAACAAAUGACAAAUGGAUCGAUGGACACUUUCUGUACUAUCCUUCCCAUCAUGCACCACCAAACAGAAGGGGCGGGGCUUGUAGCAGAUAAUGAACGGAAGCAAUAAAGCUACUGAUGACUAUGCUAGAGAAUUUUCCAAAGUAGCCUCUGUUAAUGAGUUUUACAUUAAAAUAAAACGCACACGCACCCACACACGCACCCACACACACGCACGCACACACACGCAUGCACACACACAGACUGUUAGACUGUUAGCUAACACUGCUGGGUAGAUUAACGACCUCGUUUAAAUAUUUAUGCGCAAGUGUACGCCUUCAGGAUUUUGUUAAAAUGUUUGGUGUGAUUAUUUUUAAAACUCUGAGUGUUUCUGCUCGAAAUAUUAAUUUUCCUCCUCGUUAAGCGAAAGUGCUCAGCUCUCAGGUGGAAAAUCCGCUCAGAUUAACAGAACUGUUCAUUAGAGAGAGAGAGACGGAGAGAGACGGAGAGAGAGACGGAGAGAGAGACGGAGGGAAAUAAAAGAAGUCAGUAACUGAGUACACAGCCGUCUGUUCUUUCUUGCUGACUUCUUUUAUUUCUCUCCUUCUUCCCUCUCUCACUCUCCUUUCUUGCUUAUCUUUUCCUUCAUUCUUUUCUUCCUUUUCCUCUCAUUGUUUCUCAUUCCUCCAUGUUUUAUUUAUUUAUUUAUUUAUUUCCUACCCCUUCAUUCUGUCAUUUUUUUAUUCGUUUUUCUUUUUCUUCCUUUCAUUCUUUCAUUUAUUUCUACAGGUACUGUAUUUGUGUAUUUCUUUCAUUCCAUUUUUCUUUCUUUCUUUCUUUCUUUCUUUCUUUCUCGCUUACUUUACCUUUUAUUUCCCUGUUUUCAUUUGCUUCUUUUUCUUUCUUCUUCUCUCUGUAUAUACAGUGUAUAUAUAUAUAUAUUCAUAUUCAUGUCUCCAG